ACAAAACCCGGAAGGACCCCGCCGAAGGUUUUCUCCGGUUCGUGAGAGGGACGGAGUCCCGCUCUGUCACGCAGGCUGCCAGGCUGGCGUACAGUGGCGCAAUCUCAGCUCACUGCAACCUCCACCUCCUGGGUUCAAGCGAUUUUCUUGCCUCUGCCUCCUGAGUAGCUGGGAUUACUGGCACACACCACCAAUGCACAGUUCCUUGUUCAAAAUGCCAAGAACCUGGAUGACUCAUAGUCAAGACCCUCCACCAGUAACAUAUAUUGGCGAGCCAGCCAGGAGACCACUACAGGAAACACUCCAUUUAUUCAACCUGACUUCCCACUUGGCUGCAUCCUCAACCAUUGAAAUGAAUUUGACCCUGAUAAUCUAAGGAGGAAACAUUUGAUAUUCUUUUGCAAUAAUACUUGGCCCCGGUAUUGUUUGGAAUCUGGAGUUUGCUGUUGAAUGGGAAAGCGGGAUGAUGUUGCAUGUAUCCAGGCCUUGGUGCUGCUGUCCUAAGAAGGGUCAGGCCUGGUCAGCAUAUGGUGCUCUCCUUUGGUGCUAUUUGGCUCGUGUCUUCAGAGUCUGAGGAGGUUUGGCCUUUAAAAAUCAAACUGCCACCGAAACUGCUUUAAAAAUUUUUGGUUCACGGCCUUCACUGGAUUACCUACUGGAGCAAACAAAGUGUAACCAUGUAAAACCUGUGAGCUUGUAUUGAUAUCUCAUGGCUAGAGUUCCAAGGUAAAAGCUAUUUGAUCUUCAUUUGUGUGUGUGUAUACAUGUCUAGAUGUGUUUAUUUGUAUGU
Molecule: non-coding RNA, 790 nt
Filed under: Pan troglodytes (chimpanzee)
Lineage: Eukaryota; Metazoa; Chordata; Mammalia; Primates; Hominidae
Source: RNAcentral